Small nuclear RNA from Protopterus annectens (West African lungfish), 109 nucleotides. The record is from RefSeq and is a predicted model, not a curated record. NCBI's taxonomy places the organism in Eukaryota, Metazoa, Chordata, Ceratodontiformes, Protopteridae.
GUCUUGCUUCCUUUGACAACACAUAUACUAACAUUGGAACGAUACAGGGAAGAUUAGCAUGGCCUCUUCACAAUCAGAUAUGCAAAUUCAUUUAGCAUUCCAUAUUUUU